CAACGGACCCUUCUAUGCUGCGUGUCUCAACAAGGGUAAAAUCUCUACUGGCACGAAGAUCUUCUACAGCAGCCUGGCACAAGGGAAAAAAUAAUGGCAACUUGCAUAAAAGGGAGUUGCUAUUGUCAGUUUUGUCAGGUGAAUCGACCAUCUUUGAUGCUGUCAGUCAAGUCCUCUACUUACCUCCAAGCUAGCAUCCUAUCUUUCUGCUUGGUGUAUCGACCAUCCUUGAUGCUGUCAGCCAAGUCAUCUGCCCUCUUACGCUCAAGCAAAACUGGAAGUGUAUACUCACAGCCAUUAGCUCUCCAAAGCCACUGGUAAUCCCCACAGAGGAGGGAACGGGACUUGUGCUGUACGCCCCAAUCAUUUAGUCGUCUACUUAACUGUGUGACAAGAAAGCUAGCACUAAUUAGAAAAGGCUUCCGAAAAUUAAAUUUGUCAAAUCUUAGGUGGGCAAUUAUUAAAACUGCGUCACUCAUUCAAUUGUAACAAAGCUGUAUUUAAAUACGGUUUAAGAGUCAUUAGCAAGGAAACCUGUUUAAGUUUUAUCAUUAAGGACCAAUCAAGAUAAACAAAGUCCUAAAUAUACUAUCAAAAUAUCCUAGAAAAUGUAACUUGGUAGAUCUCAAACAGUAAAUAUAUAUCCAAAAGGAUUUUAAUAUUGUAUUAUAUUGAAUUAAAUAUACAUACAAAAGGA
Nematostella vectensis (starlet sea anemone) is the source of this 697-nucleotide long non-coding RNA. RefSeq lists it as uncharacterized. The transcript is spliced from 2 exons. Lineage: Eukaryota; Metazoa; Cnidaria; Anthozoa; Actiniaria; Edwardsiidae. The record is from RefSeq and is a predicted model, not a curated record.